CCUACGGGAGGCAGCAGUGGGGAAUAUUGCACAAUGGGGGCAACCCUGAUGCAGCAACGCCGCGUGAGUGAAGACGUAUCUCGGUAUGUAAAGCUCUAUCAGCAGGGAAGAAAAUGACGGUACCUGACUAAGAAGCACCGUCUAAAUACGUGCCAGCGGCCGCGGUAAUACGUAGGGUGCAAGCGUUAUCCGGAUUUACUGGGUGUAAAGGGAGCGCAGUCGGCGUGGGAAGUCAGAUGUGAAAGCCCGGGGCUCAACCGCAAGACUGCAAUUGAAACUGGCGGGCUUGAGUGUCGGAGAGGCAAGUGGAAUUCGUGGUGUAGCGGUGAAAUGCGUAGAUAUUAGGAAGAACACCAAUGGCGAAGGCAGCUUGCUGGACGGCCACUGACGCUGAGGCUCGAAAGCGUGGGGAGCAAACAGGAUUAGAUACCCUUGUAGUC
This 440-nucleotide ribosomal RNA is filed under the name uncultured bacterium. Its description in RNAcentral is "partial 16S ribosomal RNA". It matches the Rfam family "Bacterial small subunit ribosomal RNA", at positions 338 to 795 of the family's 1533-position model. The record is from RNAcentral.